ACAUGAUUAACCUUUGUACUUUAUACUUUGCUAAAACAUUUAGGACUCGAGUGGGCGACUCCAAGAAUGGUGACCACAUUGCUGCCCUAAGCGAUGAACAGGGCAGGGCGUGUGGUAUUGCAGUUAACUAUGUGUCAUCUGGUCAUCAUAGUGAUUGGUAGAUUAAAACCGUAAGCCACCUCUGAAUUCAUAUCGAAGUCAUGCGAGCUGGUCUUUUCUGCUUGGAUCUCCAGGUUGUGGGAAAACACUAAUGACAAUUUAUUUUGAGAUUGCCAUAUUCUUUCUACCUAAUUUGUGUUCUGUAUAAACUGUACAAUGUUUCCUUUUCUGGAACUUUAGGGGCCUGAUCAAUUGAACAAGUAUAUUGGGGAGAGCGAAUCAGAAGUAAGGAAAAUAUGAACCCGUGCAAGCACUAACUCACCAUACAUCCUAUUUUUUUGAGGUAAAACUAAGUAGUUGUGGCCGCUUUGGAUGAGAGAACCCAAUUCCUGGUACAGUAAAAUGCCAACACAUAUAUGAUUGAUGUUAUGGCACUAUACUUGACUUUGGGGAUGACGAGAUCGACGGAAGCAACAGGAGCCCACGACUCAUGAGUUCAGCGGCGC
This is a non-coding RNA of Aegilops tauschii subsp. strangulata, 605 nucleotides long. The record is from RefSeq and is a predicted model, not a curated record. Lineage: Eukaryota; Viridiplantae; Streptophyta; Magnoliopsida; Poales; Poaceae.